UUACCCUAAUUCAGGGGUUGCUGAUGGUCUGAUCUUGAAGGAGGGUUUGAAGCUACCAAACCCUUCUGGGCAGGUGAGAGUUGAAAAGAACAAAGUGGCAAGAAAGCUGUUAGGAGCAGAAGAAUUUUCAGACUAUGCAAGCCCAGAACAUAA
This is a non-coding RNA of Cucurbita pepo subsp. pepo (vegetable marrow), 153 nucleotides long. The record is from RefSeq and is a predicted model, not a curated record. Lineage: Eukaryota; Viridiplantae; Streptophyta; Magnoliopsida; Cucurbitales; Cucurbitaceae.